This 254-nucleotide ribosomal RNA is filed under the name uncultured bacterium. Its description in RNAcentral is "partial 16S ribosomal RNA". It matches the Rfam family "Bacterial small subunit ribosomal RNA", at positions 524 to 776 of the family's 1533-position model. The record is from RNAcentral.
UACGUAGGGUCCAAGCGUUAUCCGGAAUCACUGGGCGUAAAGCGUGCGUAGGUGGCGCGUUAAGUGAGAUGUUAAAUCGUGUGGCUCAACCAUAUCGAUGUAUCUCAUACUGGCGUGCUAGAGGACAGCAGAGGCAAGUGGAAUUAGUAGUGUAGCGGUGAAAUGCGUAGAUAUCAGGAGGAACACCUGUGGCGAAAGCGGCGCACUGGACCACAACGUGACGCUGAGGCGCGAAGGCUAGGGGAGCAAACAGG